GUGCUCGCUUCUGUAGCACAUAUACUAAAAUUGGAACGAUACAGAGUAGAUUAGCAUGGCCCCUGUGCAAGGAUGACACACAAAUUCAUGAAGCGUUUCAUAUUAAA
Molecule: small nuclear RNA, 107 nt
Filed under: Myotis myotis
Lineage: Eukaryota; Metazoa; Chordata; Mammalia; Chiroptera; Vespertilionidae
Also listed under: 1 other name
Source: RNAcentral